RNAcentral lists this ribosomal RNA (497 nucleotides) under uncultured bacterium. Its description in RNAcentral is "partial 16S ribosomal RNA". It matches the Rfam family "Bacterial small subunit ribosomal RNA", at positions 28 to 507 of the family's 1533-position model. The record is from RNAcentral.
GACGAACGCUGGCGGCGUGCCUAAUACAUGCAAGUUGAGCGCUGAAGGUUGGUACUUGUACCGACUGGAUGAGCAGCGAACGGGUGAGUAACGCGUGGGGAAUCUGCCUUUGAGCGGGGGACAACAUUUGGAAACGAAUGCUAAUACCGCAUAACAACUUUAAACACAAGUUUUAAGUUUGAAAGAUGCAAUUGCAUCACUCAAAGAUGAUCCCGCGUUGUAUUAGCUAGUUGGUGAGGUAAAGGCUCACCAAGGCGAUGAUACAUAGCCGACCUGAGAGGGUGAUCGGCCACAUUGGGACUGAGACACGGCCCAAACUCCUACGGGAGGCAGCAGUAGGGAAUCUUCGGCAAUGGACGAAAGUCUGACCGAGCAACGCCGCGUGAGUGAAGAAGGUUUUCGGAUCGUAAAACUCUGUUGGUAGAGAAGAACGUUGGUGAGAGUGGAAAGCUCAUCAAGUGACGGUAACUACCCAGAAAGGGACGGCUAACUACGUG